RNAcentral lists this ribosomal RNA (765 nucleotides) under uncultured Leuconostoc sp. RNAcentral's name for it is "bacterial SSU rRNA". It matches the Rfam family "Bacterial small subunit ribosomal RNA", at positions 28 to 776 of the family's 1533-position model. Lineage: Bacteria; Bacillati; Bacillota; Bacilli; Lactobacillales; Lactobacillaceae. The record is from RNAcentral.
GAUGAACGCUGGCGGCGUGCUAAUACAUGCAGGUCGAACGCACAGCGAAAGGUGCUUGCACCUUUCAAGUGAGUGGCGAACGGGUGAGUAACACGUGGAUAACCUACCUCAAGGUUGGGGAUAACAUUUGGAAACAGAUGCUAAUACCGAAUAAAACUUCGUAUCGCAUGAUACAAGGUUAAAAGGCGCUACGGCGUCACCUAGAGAUGGAUCCGCGGUGCAUUAGUUAGUUGGUGGGGUAAAGGCCUACCAAGACAAUGAUGCAUAGCCGAGUUGAGAGACUGAUCGGCCACAUUGGGACUGAGACACGGCCCAAACUCCUACGGGAGGCUGCAGUAGGGAAUCUUCCACAAUGGGCGAAAGCCUGAUGGAGCAACGCCGCGUGUGUGAUGAAGGCUUUCGGGUCGUAAAGCACUGUUGUAUGGGAAGAACAGCUAGAGUAGGGAAUGACUUUAGUUUGACGGUACCAUACCAGAAAGGGACGGCUAAAUACGUGCCAGCAGCCGCGGUAAUACGUAUGUCCCGAGCGUUAUCCGGAUUUAUUGGGCGUAAAGCGAGCGCAGACGGUUGAUUAAGUCUGAUGUGAAAGCCCGGAGCUCAACUCCGGAAAGGCAUUGGAAACUGGUCAACUUGAGUGCAGUAGAGGUAAGUGGAACUCCAUGUGUAGCGGUGGAAUGCGUAGAUAUAUGGAAGAACACCAGCGGCGAAGGCGGCUUACUGGACUGUAACUGACGUUGAGGCUCGAAAGUGCGGGUAGCAAACAGG